AUGCAAGUCGUACGAGAGUUUUUACUCUAGUGGCGGACGGGUGAGUAACACGUGAGAAUUUACCUUUAGGAGGGGGAUAACAGCGUAUCAAUAGAUAUUACGGAAACGGCUGCUAAUACCCCAUAUGCUUUUGAGUGAAAUAGAUUUAUCUGCCUAAAGAGAAGCUUGCGUCUGAUUAGCUUGUUGGUAAGGUAAUGGCUUACCAAGGCGACGAUCAGUAUCUGGUUUGAGAGGACGAUCAGACACACUGGAACUGAGACACGGUCCAGACUCCUACGGGAGGCAGCAGUGGGGAAUUUUCCGCAAUGGGCGAAAGCCUGACGGAGCAAUACCGCGUGAGGGAUGAAUGCCUAUGGGUUGUAAACCUCUUUUUUCAGGGAGGAAUCAAUGACGUUACCUGAAGAAUAAGCAUCGGCUAACUCCGUGCCAGCAGCCGCGGUAAUACG
Molecule: ribosomal RNA, 446 nt
Filed under: uncultured bacterium
Lineage: Bacteria
Description: bacterial SSU rRNA
Rfam family: Bacterial small subunit ribosomal RNA
Source: RNAcentral